CUGCUGCCUUCCGUAGGAGUCUGGUCCGUGUCUCAGUACCAGUGUGGGGGGCCUUCCUCUCAGAACCCCUACGCAUCGUCGCCUCGGUGGGCCGUUACCCCGCCGACUAGCUAAUGCGCCGCAUGCCCAUCCGUGGCCGGGAUUGCUCCCUUUGGCGGCCUUGGGAUGUCCCUAGGCCGCGUUACGCGGUAUUAGACGGGGUUUCCCCCGCUUACUCCCCCUGCCACGGGCAGGUUACAUACGUGUUACUCACCCGUGCGCCGGUCGCCGGCAACGG
Molecule: ribosomal RNA, 277 nt
Filed under: uncultured bacterium
Lineage: Bacteria
Description: partial 16S ribosomal RNA
Source: RNAcentral